ACACAUAGGGGAAAAGCAUCUCUGGAGGAAGCAGCAUCUUCUCCCAGGGGAUAAAGGCCUCAGGACGUCACUGGGUUCUGCAGGGGCCCGAGGUACCCGAGCCGCGGGAGCUGCUGGAGCCGCCACAGCCGCUGAAGCCACCGCCGCCGCAUUGGUGCAAGGGAGCCAGGCUGCUGCAGACUGCGCGCUAGAGCGAGAGAUCUGUUUCUCUCCAUAGUUCACCCAAACCCUCCAACCCCACCCCCUGGGGCC
This 252-nucleotide long non-coding RNA is filed under the name Phascolarctos cinereus (koala). Its description in RNAcentral is "lncRNA (ENSPCIG00000033528.1)". Lineage: Eukaryota; Metazoa; Chordata; Mammalia; Diprotodontia; Phascolarctidae. The record is from RNAcentral.